UUUGAUGAAUAUGGUCCUUUUUCUUUUUCUGGAAAAGAAAUGUUUCGAGGAAAUACAUAGUUAAUUAUAUGUAUUUCAGAAAGGUAGUCUGCUUACGGUGUUCCCCACAACCCUGUGAGUGCUCCCUAGAUCUUGUGUGCCUUCGAACAUUCGUGCUCCCUAAACUCUUCUAUUCCUUGACCACAGCUGCUAGAAAGUCUUUUAAUCACCACAUCCUUCCCAUCUUG
This 227-nucleotide long non-coding RNA is filed under the name Ricinus communis (castor bean). Its description in RNAcentral is "long non-coding RNA (RCOM_LNC001000)". Lineage: Eukaryota; Viridiplantae; Streptophyta; Magnoliopsida; Malpighiales; Euphorbiaceae. The record is from RNAcentral.